CCUACGGGAGGCAGCAGUGGGGAAUCUUGCGCAAUGGGCGAAAGCCUGACGCAGCGACGCCGCGUGAGCGAUGACGGCCUUCGGGUUGUAAAGCUCUGUGGGGAGAGAAGAAUAAGGCUCGGCUAAUACCCGAGCCGAUGACGGUAUCUCCUUAGCAAGCACCGGCUAACUCUGUGC
RNAcentral lists this ribosomal RNA (177 nucleotides) under uncultured bacterium. RNAcentral describes it as "partial 16S ribosomal RNA". It matches the Rfam family "Bacterial small subunit ribosomal RNA", at positions 338 to 508 of the family's 1533-position model. The record is from RNAcentral.